Molecule: ribosomal RNA, 417 nt
Filed under: bacterium 14S523
Lineage: Bacteria
Description: bacterial SSU rRNA
Rfam family: Bacterial small subunit ribosomal RNA
Source: RNAcentral
CUAGGGGCCCUUUCAGGUUUGUUUGUGGAAUGUUGGGUUAAUUCCCGAAAGGGGGCAACCCUUUUCCCUCUUUUCCCAGGGGUUCGGCCGGGAACUCAAAGGAGACUGCCGGUGACAAACUGGAGGAAGGUGGGGAUGACGUCAAGUCAUCAUGGCCCUUACGCCUAGGGCUACACACGUGAUACAAUGGUCGAUACAAAGGGAAGCGACCUCGCGAGAGCAAGCGGACCUCAAAAAGUAAUCGUAGUCCGGAUUGGAGUCUGCAACUCGACUCCAUGAAGUCGGAAUCGAUUGUAAUGUUAGAUCAGAUUGGUACGGUGAAUACGUUCCCGGUCCUGGUACACACCCCCCGUCACACCAUGGGCGUGGGUGCCAAAGAACUAGGUAGCUUAACCUUCAAGAGGGCGGUAACCUACG